Molecule: ribosomal RNA, 449 nt
Filed under: uncultured bacterium
Lineage: Bacteria
Description: partial 16S ribosomal RNA
Rfam family: Bacterial small subunit ribosomal RNA
Source: RNAcentral
CUCCAGACUCCUACGGGAGGCAGCAGUGGGGAAUAUUGGGCAAUGGGCGCAAGCCUGACCCAGCAACGCCGCGUGAAGGAAGAAGGCCCUCGGGUUGUAAACUUAUUUUAUCAGGGACGAAACAAAUGACGGUACCUGAUGAAUAAGCCACGGCUAACUACGUGCCAGCAGCCGCGGUAAUACGUAUGGAGCAAGCGUUAUCCGGAAUUACUGGGUGUAAAGGGAGCGUAGGCGGCAAGGCAAGUCUGAUGUGAAAACCCAGGGCCCAACCCUGGGACUGCAUUGGAAACUGUAUUGCUUGAGUACCGGAGAGGCAGGCGGAAUUCCUAGUGUAGCGGUGAAAUGCGUAGAUAUUAGGAGGAACACCAGUGGCGAAGGCGGCCUGCUGGACGGUAACUGACGCUGAGGCUCGAAAGCGUGGGGAGCAAACAGGAUUAGAUACCCCUGUA